GAUGAACGCUGGCGGCGUGCUUAACACAUGCAGGUCGAACGAUGAAGCCCAGCUUGCUGGGUGGAUUAGUGGCGAACGGGUGAGUAACACGUGAGUAACCUGCCCUUAACUCUGGGAUAAGCCUGGGAAACUGGGUCUAAUACCGGAUAGGAGCGCCUACCGCAUGGUGGGUGUUGGAAAGAUUUAUCGGUUUUGGAUGGACUCGCGGCCUAUCAGCUUGUUGGUGAGGUAAUGGCUCACCAAGGCGACGACGGGUAGCCGGCCUGAGAGGGUGACCGGCCACACUGGGACUGAGACACGGCCCAGACUCCUACGGGAGGCAGCAGUGGGGAAUAUUGCACAAUGGGCGAAAGCCUGAUGCAGCGACGCCGCGUGAGGGAUGACGGCCUUCGGGUUGUAAACCUCUUUCAGUAGGGAAGAAGCGAAAGUGACGGUACUUGCAGAAGAAGCACCGGCUAACUACGUG
Molecule: ribosomal RNA, 466 nt
Filed under: uncultured bacterium
Lineage: Bacteria
Description: partial 16S ribosomal RNA
Rfam family: Bacterial small subunit ribosomal RNA
Source: RNAcentral